CUUCCGGUGAGGCCGCCGCUGGUAAGCUUUCCCUCUCUAUGUCGUCUCUAAUUUUCCCAAUUCCCACAGGAAAACAAAAGCCCUAAUUUUUUUUAAGAAAGCCCUAAUUUUCAGAUUUUCGCCUCAGAUUCUGCAGAAAAAUCGAUUUGACUUUCGAGAUAAAAGGCAAGGGCAGAUAUAAUUAUUAACUGUUGUAGCUAUUCAUUGUUUCCCCCUUUUGCUUUAUUUCCAGCUUUUCGUUUUUCUUUGUUGCUUUUUCUUGAUUUUGUUGGGGGGUUCGAUUGUUGAAGUUGAUAUUUUGAUAUCUUUCUAGGCUUGUGUGGGAGAGAUAUGUGGUGCUGGUUUGUUGAUGUGAGUUAAAGGUGGUAGCUUUAUUGGUAUUCGGUGAAUUUAAUUUUGUUGUUGUUGGUGAAAUUCGUCUAUUUUUAGGAUUUGGGUGUUUGCCUUUUAAGUUGAACAUGAUUUGGAAGAUCUCGGUGGAAAUACAUCUGUUGAUUUCCUGCUGUUUUUGGUUCUGAUUGAUAAGUUUUACCUGUUGCUAGUUUAUUUGGUGCACGGUUUUCGGAUUUUAGUGGGAUUUUCAUCUCGUAACUGGUUAGUUUAAAUGUUUGUAUGACUUCUUCUUACUUACCCCUUUGUGGCUUGUUUGUGUGUUGCUUACUGUUUUUCGUAGUUAGAGAUUAACACUGUUCUACCUGAAUUUUAGGUGUCUGCUAAUUUUCACCAUAUAUCAUAGUGCUUGUUAUAUAUGGGCCUCAAUUUCCAACACUUGUAAUAUCUAAGUGUGUUUUCUUGUUUAAAUAUGACCAUAGGCUGGUUAAGUUCUUUCACGUUUUGUGGCAGCCUGCUGAUUACAUCGUUUCCUGAGCUCGGGCUUUGUCCUCUUUGACAUCCAUUUGUAUUAUCUGCAUUUGUGGUUGGGGCUGAUAUUUAGGGUUUUUUUUAUCUUUUCUAAAGUUAUAGGCUUGGUGUGUGCCUUUGUUUUGUUCUGUAGCUUCUUGCUCUAUUUUCUUGUUUUAUUAUUCGAAGAUAUGUUUUAACUUGUCGCUAAGAUACUUGUGAAGAGUGGGAAGAAGGGUUUACUGAUCUAUUGUCUAGCUUAUACGAGUACAAUUCAUUUGUAAUCAAUAUCUGCAUCAACAUCUAGCCUAUAUGUUGCCAAUAGCUAAUGCCGUAUAUAACCUCUGAAUAUAGCUAGAUAUCUCUAAUGGUCUAAUAUUUAGUGAAUAACCUGUAUCCUCUGUGACAAUUAGUUUGAAUGUUAAGAUACUUUAGCAUUUGACAUUCUAUUUUUGUUAAGUUAUCCUUUACAUUUGUGGGUUAGUUUAGAUGACAUUCUAUUGGACAUUUGUGGGUAAAACUAUUAACUCAUCUUUCUAUUGAUGCAUGUGGUUUUUGGUAUAAAAAAAAAUAAAAAAAAAUUAAUACAUAACGGAAAAAUCUUAAUACAUAACGGUGAAAAACCGUUAUGUAUAACCUUUAUAGAUAACGGAUGCGUACUGUUAUGUAUGACGCAUCGUACCGUUAUCUAUACUACUAUACAUAACGGUUUUGAAACCGUUGUGUAUGACGUAUAGAAUAGAUAACACCACUAUACACAACGGUUUUUUUGCUCAUAGAUAACGGAAAAAAUCCGUUAUCUAUGAGCGUUUUUCUAGUAGUGACUCUACUAUAUGAAACCACAAAAUAAAGUUGCAUUCUAGUUAAAAAUAUUAUUUUAUUCUUAAAUACCUUCUGAUCGGCCGUAAAAAUUGUAAACAUGAUAUGGUCGGUCGUACACAAUACGGUCCAAUCCGCCAUAUCUUAUCGACCACUUUUACAGAUAGUCAAAAAGUAGGCAAGCAUAAAAUGAUUUUUUAAAUACAUUUUCUGUAACACCCCGUACUUUUCCUCAUGUUGUGAGAUAGUGUCUUAACACUAUUGAGAGAACUGAGAUGUCGAAAUACGAGACUACUUUUUUUUAUGAGCAGAUAAGACAGAUUGUCUUUUAAAUAGAGAUGCUGAUUGAUUUGAGCUGAGAUUUUAUUUUAUUUCCAACUACCGGGAAUAGAGUUACCGGAUACUGAAUUAUUAGAGAUUGACUGUCCUAUUAAGAAAAAUAGGAAUAAUGAGUUGGAAAUAGAGUCGAGGAAGAAAGAGUGAGAAACCUUGAUAAAUUGAGUCGGUCAGAGAGACGUCUAGCUUAUUUGAGUCUGCCGACUGUUUUGAUGUGAUGUUAUGUGAAUUUACGUGACUGAGUGAUUAUGUGAUUUUGUGACGUGUGUCAAUAUGACCAUAUUAUUAUGAUUUUUAUUUGAAACCUUAGCACUUGGGAAUUUUUAUUAAGUUUCCAAAGAAAGUGCGGUUUAUUUUUACCGAGAAAUCGAAUGAUGCCGGUUUAUGGAAAUUUUUCCAAGCAUAAUAUUUUUAAAUUAUUUUUCCUAUGAUGAGGAAUAUUAUAAUUGAGUGAGUGCACUAAUAUUAGUGCUAUAAUUAUUUUAUUUUGGUCACAUGAAUAAUUAUACUAUGGUACUUUAUUAAUGAGUAAUAUUUCCAUAGUUUUUGUGAUUAUUAUUUAAUCACCCUUCUCACAUGAUUUAUUUUUAAUUUCCCAAGUAUGAGACUAAUUACUAAAAUUUACUAAGUGUAGAGAUUGAGAGAGUAGAGAUUAGAGAGAGUGUAGAGAUUAGAGAGAGAGAGAUCAAGGCAUUAAUGCCAAAUAUUCUAUAAGAUUCACAAAUCUUCCAAAGAUUAGCCAAAUCCAAGCAUAUCUUGCAAAAUCCUCUCUCACUCCUCACUCCCUCAUUUUCGAUCACCACCUCCCUCUCCUUCAUCUCUCUUACUUUCCACCAUUUUCCUCCAUUGAUGCACCUUCGGAGCUUCACAAAUUCAUACCAAAACUCAAAUCACCCUCUAAAUCUUACACUAAACACUUCCACCUCCUUGAAUCCAAGAAGAUCUUUGGAGUUUGAUCUUCAAAGUUAGAAAGAGAAAGUUUGGUUUUGGGUGUAAGUUUGGGUAAGUGAGCUUUAAAUUCAUAGAUUAACUUGUAUGAUGAUAUAUAUGAGUAUAUUUGAAGGAUUGAAGCAAGAAAUCACCCCCUCUCUUAUUCUUCACAAUUUUCGAAAAUAUGGGUCUCAUACCCUUCAAAAAAUUUUCUUUUUCUUUCCUUGAAUUGGGGUGAGAAAAAUGAUCUAUGAUAUGUUUGGUGAUGAUUGAUGUGUGUUUUGAAAAUCUAUGCUUUGAGAUUCAAAUUUUCGAUGGAAGUUAGUUUACCCAAAAAAUGGGAAAUUUUGAGUCAAAUGAGUUAAUAGAUAAAUUGAUGAUGUAAAUGAGUCUAUGAGAUGUAUAUGAUGAUGAUUGAUGGAGUAAUUUGAGUAUAUGAUGUCCAUUGGAGUUUUUGAUGUGAGUUAGUUUACUAAAAUUAGGGAUAUGUGUAUAUAUGCCCUUAUAUGUAAAUUGAUGGUUUUUAAGUGAGAUUAAUUGGUUAAAAAUGAUAAAUAUAUGAAUAGAUUAAAGAUUCAUAUGUGUUUGUAAAAAUUUCGAAGAGUUAGUUUAGUAAAAAUUAGGACUUUUUGGUCUAUGUGUUAUUUAAGUGAUUUUGCUUAGAUAUAUUGUUUUUAAGCAUGAUAGUAGUGUCUUAGUAUUUUUGAUUAAGUCUAUUGUAGGCUAAAUAAAAUUUUGGCUUUAGUUUAGUUUGUAUGUAGUUUUGAGUUUUGUAUGAUGUGAGUUUGAUGCUUGAUAAAAUGAGGUCAAUUUGCUCUAUGAUCAUUAUGAGAAUUUUAUCCAUGUUUUGCUAAGAGUUUUAUGUUGAUACAUGGAUUUUCAUUAAAAUAUAGUUUUUAUGAUAAAAAGUGAAUGAAUAUGUGAAUAAUGAGUUAUAUGAUGUAAAUGAUCAUAUUUGAGUAUUUGAGAAAUUUCGAGCAUGAUAUUGAAAAGAGAAUUUGUUAGAUACGUUCAUUGAAGUGUUUUCUAUGAGAUUUGAGUGGAUGAUGAAAGAAAAGAGUCGAGAUUGAGUAUUACGAGUAUUUUGUUGUAUUUGAAUGUUUUUAAGUGCUAUAAGUGCUUAAAAUGAGCUUUGAUGAGUUUGCUUUGUUUAAAUGAUGAGUUGAGCAUGUUUGCUUGUGUGUAUGUUUCGGAGUCGUUUUUCACGACGCACUGACCUACGGUUUUCGAGGGGUUUUUGAUACCCAAACAUCCUGACAAUUUUAUGGUAAGUAUAUUUGAAAGUCUUGAGAACACCGGUAAAAUUUCAAGUCAUUUGGACUUCGUUUGAUACUUUUAUAAAACUAGUAUUUGCCCCCGUGCAAUGCACGGAAUUUUUUUUGUAUAUAUUAUAAAUAUUAAAUUAAUUAUAAUAAUUACAAAUAUUCAAAAAAAUUAUAAAUUAAAUAUUCCUUUCGUCCCACCGAGCUUGAGUCGUAUUUCUUUUUGGGCUGUCCCACCGAGCUUGAGUCAUUUCCUUUUUUGACAAAAAUUAUGUAAUUUACAACACUAAUUAACAAAACUAAUUGCACCCUUAUUUUUCUUUAAUCAUCCCAAAUAACCCUUAUUUCUCAAAAAAUAAAAAUAUUUUUUNUUAUUCACUCCCUUUUUCUACUCCCGCUUCCUAUCUCCCUCCCUUAGUCAUGAUUUCCCGAUUUAAUUAUCCUUAAUUAAGUCGGGUCGUGACAUCAAGGGUGCAAAGAUAGUGCUUGGUGUUUAAUCUAAUGCUAGUCCAAGUGGGAGAUUGAAAGAUAUAUGGACUAGAUUAGGAUAUGUUUGAUAUAUUCUAAUAAGCUUUAAUUAAUUAGUAAAUAGUUUGACUAUUGGAUUAAUUAAUUAAUUGGAGACAAAAGAAAAGUCCGGCCUGUUUAACUUAUGGUUUACAAGCGUGUCUUAUUCCUAUAAGAAUAGGAAUAUAUUUCUUUUGUCUGGGAGAUGAACACACGUGAGAUACGUAAAAUCACAAGAGAGAAAACACUUAGAGCACUAUAGAAUUCAGUCGAAGAUUUCCUAGCUUUCGAAGAUUGAAUUGUGCAUCGGGAAUUGUUCCUGCAUCGAAUCUGCAAUAUGCGUGGAUACCAUAAUAGUAGCUUUCGAAGAUCGAAUUGUGCAUCGGGAAUUGUUCCUGCAUCGAAUCUGCAAUAUGUGUGGAUACCAUAAUAGUGGAUUCAACUGCAGGAUUACUAGAAGAAUUGCUACAAGAUUGUUUGCUACACAACAAGUAAGUUAUUCUAACUGUUGUUGUGUGUUUGUAAUCUCUACACAUGAAUCAAUUGUAAAUCUAGUGUGUUUGUAAUCUCUACACAUGAAUUAAUUGUAAAUCUAGAUCUUUUCCUUGACUGUUAUUUCCUCUGCGUAUCAUUAGAUGAUGUCAAGGAUUUUCCUAGCAAAGUUUAGAAUUAUUUUGAAGUUAUAAAUCAGGAUGAUUCACGUCGUAUAAAGAAACUGAUUUAUUUUUAAUUCCAACAAAAAUAUUUUACAAAAGCUUUCAUAAAUUUUACUCCCUCCGUCCACCAAAAAUAUGCCACAGUUUUCUUUUUCGUCCGUCCACAAAAAAUAUGCCACAUCCAUUUUUAGUAGUAGGGUCCACACCAUUCCACUCACAUUUAAAGUGGGACCCUUACUCCACUACCAACUUCACUCACAUUUUAUUAAAACCCUUGCCGAAAGUAAAGUGGCAUAUUUUUGGUGGACGGAGGGAGUAUUUAUUUAAAUUCUUAUACAUUGCAUAUUUUUUUAAAUUGAGCAUUUGAACAUUUACACGAGCUAUUUAUUUAGCGAACCCUAGAGAAUUAUUUCAGUUCGACAAUUCAUCGCAGAUGUUUUAAUUGUCACAUCACGUCAUUUCAUUGUUUUUAGCAACCCUUACCAUCAAAGUCACUCCCCACAAUUAAAGUCUAUUCCUACGCUCUAUUUUUCCUUCAUUCACGCAUCUACUCUUGAAAGAGCAACAACAUAACCUUGCUAGGCAGUCCCCCCACCCUGUGCAUCACUUUAUCUCAUCAGCCAAAGUCCCCUUCAUCCCACACAACAACUCUCUCGCCAAGAAAAAAAACUUAGAUUCCAUAUUUUCGAUUCAAGGACCAAGCUUUUACCGAAUAUACAUCAAAAUCAACAAAGUUCACACAAGCUCAACUGAAAGUUUUAAGGUUUCAUUUUCUUUAAACUUCACUACUUGUUUUUACAGUAUUCUCCAUUACUUUCAGAACACACAAACCUCGGCAUAAGCCUAAGCUCCUUAGAUGAGGGAUGUGAGAGUUGAGAUAAAUCGUCAUCCAAUCAUAAAUGAAAUAAAAUCGUAGUGUGGCUUGAAUAAGAGAUGGCUUCAUAAAACCUAAAAUGGUAUUCAAGCCUUUGAAGAUACCAGCCAAAAUCGGAGCUGUAAGGGCCAGUUUCUAUUGAUUCACCAUCAAACUUGUUAUCUUGAAGGUAGACGGUAUGAUUAACGUGACAUCACCAACUGAAAAGAUGAAAAUGCAUAACCAACAAGCUCUAUGAGCCGCCAUAUACAAAGUGACGUGAUGUUUAUCUCUAACACCAAGCUCUAUAAAUGGAGCUUUUUCCUCAGAAGACCUUGGUCCAUGCACCUCAAAUGAACCGCUCGAAUUAUGAGUUGACUUAGGACGAUGUGAUUUCUUUACCUUACGAAUAGGAGGAUGUGGAUACUUCGGAGCCUUGUUUGACCAAAAUUUGAUCCAUUCUGCAAUAGUAACUGGACUCUUGAGAUUCUUGUUAUCGCGAUGCUUAAGGGAAUAAUAAGCAUAGAGCAAAUGUCUACAGCUCGAAGGAAUAAAUCGCUUGUCAUACUGAUCUUUACCAAGAAUCUCUUUUGCACAAGGAACAACUUCAUCAUAAAGGUAGACGGUCAUUCCUGAUAAAAGAGAUUCUUGAUAAAGAUCGAUAUGACAAGCUAUUCAUUUCUUCGAGCUAUGGACAUUUGCUCUCUCCUUAUUAUUCCCUUAAGCAUUGCGAUAGCAACAAUCCCAAGAGUCUAGUUACUAUUACAUAAUGGAUCAAACUUUCAUCGAAGAAGGCUACAAAGUAUCCACAUCCCCUACUCGUAAGCCAAAGAAGUCUCAUCAAGUCAACUCAUAAUCCGAGCAGUUCAUUUGAGGUGCAUGGACCAUGGUCUUCUGGGAAAAAACUCCAUUCAUAGAGCUCGGUGUUAGAGACAAGCAUCAUGUCACUUUGUACUUAGUGGUUCAUAUGUCUUGUUGGUUAUGCAUCUUCGUCUUACUAGUUGGUGCGUCACUGAUGAAGCUGAACUUUGAGUUUUAAUUGAAGUUGUCAUUCCAGCUAACGUACAAAUAAAUUUAUAAUACCUUGCCCAAGACAGGCGUAGUACAAGUGAUAAGCGAGGGGUCGAUCCCACAGGGAGUUGGUGUAGUUGCGUCUCAUGUCACGUUCACAAAAAAGAGAGGGGGAAAGGUUGAUGUAUUGUUCUAGUCACGAGAGACUUUACAGAGUCUCAAGGGACAGUAUUACGGGCGAGAGGGAAAUAAAAACUGAAACUCUAAAAGAAAUAAUCAAAAUAAAAAGGGAACCUGGGCAAGACAAUGAACUAACAAAUAUAAACUCGAUCGGUCAUCAGCUAAGAUAUUCACUACUAUGUACUAGUUAUAACUUACCAAUGGCCUGUGCCCCCAUUCUCACUUGUCACGUGCACUUCCAUUGUGUAAGAAAAUUUACCAUUAUUUGUUCAAGGUAAGGGACACCCUAUACCAAUAAACCAUCUUGACCUAACCAUACAAUAGGACACCUCAAAGCAUGCAAUUAAACCAAGAAGCAUUGAGCCCUAGAUAGAUCUGAUGUUGAACAUAGGCAGACUGUAGUCUACUUCAACCUCUCGUGCCCACAAUACUCUCAAGACGCAAAGUGAUCGUAAACACCCUAUAACCUUGAUUUAUUUGAAUCAAGCCACGCACUUCGGGAACAUACACAAGUAGAUUCUCACACCCAAGACAACCUCACGAUUUAUGAGUUUAUAUUCAUAUCAUCACGUCCAGCCUAGAUUAAUAAACUUAACUAGAUAAUAAAUAAAUAACAAGCAUAAAAGUAAAUGAAGAUAUUAAAUAUAUAAAAUGAAAACUUACUAUUGAAUGAAAAUAAAAACACGGCAAACACCAACACCUCCGACAACAAACAUACGAUAAACUAAACUAGCGUCUUGCGUCGAAGGGCUUAACAAAAACGGAAAACUAUAGCUAAGGAUUGGUGUGGUUCUCCUCUAAAAUAUCCUCUAAAAUAUAGUCUCGUCUCCUCCUAUUCAUGUGUGUGCAGCUGAUAUUUAUAGGAGAGAGUUGGAGUAGGCUGCAAGCUUUGGGUUCUGUAGACUCAUUUACUUGUUAGACUAUCCAAGUUCAUCUCGCCCAGACUCUAGCUUUGCAUGAACUCUGCCUCCAUCCUAAUCAGAAAAGGCUUCAAGUACAUCAUCAUUUUCCAGAUCUUAAGGGAUAAACGUUCACCCUUAUCCAUUCUUGAUUCGGACUAUCUACCACGUCAGCAUCUUGAUCAAACACGUCUUGCCCAGAAUCCUUCCUUGUGUGGACACUUCCAUGUUUAUAUUCUCCAUCUGCCAUGUCAUCAUCUUAUCCUCCACGUCAUCAUCUUGUCCAAGAUGUCGGUCAAUCUUCCUGCUCAACUCCAUUCCUUCUGUCUUGACCUCUUCUUGCCCUCGAUGCUUCUCACGAUGAAAGCUUGAUUCUGAUCGGUAGUUAGGCUGACUCUUGGUCAACGACAAAUAGCCUGAGCUGCAACACUCUUCCAGAAACAACUCCAUCUUGCCCAACACCAGCAAAGCUACUACUCUGAGCGGUAAUGUCUGUUCUGACCCAUAACAUCUGGUCAAGUGGUUGGCAUAUGUAUGUCUCUACAUUGAAGUUUAUCCAUAUCGCGACACUCCAAUUAACAUGGUCAGUCUCCAGCUCAUUCCCAGAUUCCAAAUAAGUGCUUCAUUGUGCCCAUUCCAGCCUCUUCGAGCCCUACCUCAUCACUGUGUUCUCCCAGACACAAAAUAACACAAAACAAAGAAAAAUGACUCAAUCUAGACCUAGACACGACAUAAAAAGAGCACAAAAACUAGGUUCGUCACACGCACAAACUUUAACCAUGCUUGUCCCCAUGAAUGGACGCGCAACUUGCCCAAAAUGACAAAACAAAUACUCAAAACACACAAAGUCAGCAUACACAAGAAAAAUAAGUCACAAAGAGCAUGGCGACUUCAACAAGUAAAAUUCGAACAAGAACAAUUUAAUGCAAUGACCAUCAGACAAUCAAAAUACGAAUUGAGCUUAUGGAGUUAUUCCUCACCAGCACUCUCCACUCUUGUGUUUAGGUUGGACUGUUUACGCACAAGACGACCUUCAUCACUGGCUUGCCAUAGGCUUGCAUGCUUUCUAUAUCUCCACCCCUUAGAUUAGAUUUUAAAUACUCAUCCUUAGGUCUUAUUUUUGGUUGUAAUGGGGCUUAAGGCAUUAUGUAUGAAGUAUUUGGAUGUAGGCUAAGGUCAAUUAGACUCAUGACCAAGAUAUUAUCGUCUUGGCCAAAAUUAAUUUCGUGCCCUUUAGUACGGGCCUGAGCACAUACAACCUGUACUUCUUCAGAUAUUUCUUUUUCUUUUCUAAGUCCUUUUCUUUUCUCUCUACGUCUUUUUGUUGAGGGCAUUUUGUCCUCAUUUUUCAUUACAUUGCUUUGGGCGUCUUGCCUUUUAAUUUUCACUAUUAUUUUUCUCUAUUUCCCUUUCUCCUUUAAUUUCUCAUGAGUCUUCUUGACCGGGUAAGGCUUUUUUCAUGGCUAAUUUUGAGUGAAUUUAAAAGAAUUUUUCCAGCUCAAAGGGGCUAACAAAGAAAAUAACAACGGGUAAGACAUUUUUGGCUUAGUGGGCUAAAAGAAUUUAAGCAUUUUAAUAUAGGUCCAUAGGGCCUCAAUUAAGAAACACACGUAAGUUCUAGCUAUAUGCAAAAUGAGGUCAUCACAAAACACAAAAGAAAUAAAAAACUGUCUUGGUCAUGAUGAAUACAAUAAUUAGGCUCAAAACUCGCAGGGUGUGCUCAAUUUGAUUCGUUAUAUUUGUCUACAUGCGAUCAUGCAAAAUUGAAAAAAAAAAAUCUUAAAAAAACUUGCAAAGUCUAAAGAAUCAUCAUGCUCAAGGUGACAAAAUUAUUCUAUCAUGCUGACGACCAAAAAUAAAACAAAGAAAGAGACAAAGACGAGUAGGCUGCCCNCCCCCACCCACACACUUUGCCUUGGGCAAAGUGGGUCAAAAAGGGAGCCAACUCGCAAACCAAAAAGACUACAAAUAAAAAGGCAAACACAACCCUUCCCACUCACACACUUUGCCUUGGGCAAAGUGAGUCAAUAAAAAGGGCUGAUACCAAAAAAAAAAAAAAAAGCUACAUCAACAAGCGAUCACUCUCCCUCACACACACACUUUGCCCAGGGCAAAGUGGGUGAAAAAGAAGAAUCGACAAAAAAAAAAUUAACUCUAGUACAACAAACAAUGAGAAGGUCAAUCGCUAACAAACGAAAAGAACAAAGACAAAACAAAAACCUACAGACCUAAAACAAAACGGGAGGACAUACUUUAGACGAGGAGAGAAAAAGGGGAAUACCUAAAUUCUACGAACUGAAAUAGGCGAGUAGGGCUUCUUGAUGGCAUCUAUCUUUUCAUCUUGGGUAGUUUGAGUUUCCUCCAUUCUGACCAUCCUUGCUCUGUUCGCACUGCUGGAUGUUUUGGGCACAACGGUUUUCUUCAGCCCGCCCUAGAUGGGGUGACCAUUUCAUUGUUGCUGAUGGUUGUGCCCUAUNUGUGGCGAACCAUUUUGUUGUUGCUGAUGGUUGUGCCCUAUGUGUUGACUCAUCAUGCUCUCUUCCAGACUCACAUCUUACCCUAGACUCAUUUGUUCUUCUUUUUCUUCUCACUCCUGCACAUCACAGACAAAUAUACCUUUAACGGAAAAUCAACCCCCUAGCCGUAGGAAAGAAAACUUAAACAAAAAAAAUAAAAAUAAAAACAAACUAAAAAUAAAAACAUACCAGGUUGCCUCCUGGCCAGCGCCCCAGUUAUCGUCGUGGGCACGAUGUUGCACUCUAUCAGUCUGGAUCAUAAACAAGGAUCUUAUGACCAUGUUCAAAUCACUUGACACGAAUCGCUUGGUCAUGUGACCGUUUCAACAUCCAGAUCUUGACGAGUUGAACCCAAUCAUGUGCAAUCUUCAUUAUUCUUUUGCAAUUUGCAGUGUCUUCCUAGACCUUGUGCUAAAAUUGCUUCAAAAUUUGUGUCUGAAACUUCCCAGCUUGCCCACAAUACUCCCAAUCAAUGUUGAACUUUCUCCAGUCAGUGUUCCUCUUUGCUGACCACUCGGAUAAGUGGUCUCUUGGGCACAUUGGCCUCUUGCUCGGGCAGUUUUGUCUUUGGAAUUUUUGGCUGUAAAAGUUUUGGCUUUGAGAGUUCCAUCACCACAAUGUUGUUGCACUUCAGACCUUCUUCAUAGUUUGCUCCUGUCUUGCCAUAUUGGGCAGGACAGCUAUUGAAAUCAUCCUCUGUGGGCAUGACGCUUUCUACACUGGGCAUUUAGCAGAUGGUCAAUAGAGGGAGCAAAUUGGAUUCCGCCUUCUUGGAGAUAUGGACCAUGUUGGCCCGUUCCUCCAUUUCUCGAUUUUUAGCCAACCUCCUUGGAAAAUGAGGUCUAAUUUUCAGUGGAAUGAGCUUGACGUACUUGGGCUCUAGCUCCUCUUCAUGGUCUGCCUGUUUCUUAUCAUACUGGGCAAGAUGGUUCUCAACUUCAACCUCUGUGGGCAUGAUGCUUUCUAGCACGAGCAUUUUGACCUUCUCAUGUAAUGGCUCAUCACUCCUCAAUUUAGUAGUGUAGAUAUGUGUCACAGCCCGCAAUCUCUAAGGAUGGCUUAGCCGGGGUUAUGACUCGGGAAGGGGAUUAAGAAGCGGGAAAAGAAAGGGGCAUUUACUUAACAAUCAAACAUUUUACGAAAAAAGACAUUUAUUUAUAUAACACUAGGAUCAUAACUGAUCACUUGGGCAAAUACAAGACGUUUGUUCGGGAAGGCCCGUGAUAACACUCAUAUUUCCAUGGUUUUUAAUGUUCAUAUGAUGUUAAUUUUAUAGGAAAUUGAGUGUUGGAUGAUUGUUUUGUGCUUAAUUUGCUUUAUCUUGUGAAACAUGAUUCUUACUCGAACUUUCAAGGAACUUUCAGGUUUAUUGAGUUCGAAUUUGGAACACUGUUCUGAAAUAUAAGUUGUAGAUCGUCUCGAUAGGAGUUCGUGAGCGCAGACGGAUCGCAAAUCCGAGUUCAGAUGAGACAGUUAUGGCCGAAACGAAAACAUCGCGCGCAGCAGUCAGAACCCGGCGGUCAAACACCGUUGACCACCGCUCGAAGAAGGAUUUCCGGCGACCUGACCGGCGACCGCCGCCUGGGUCGCCGGACCUUCUGGAACGUUGGAAAAGACGCGGCGAUCGCCGUGUUAUGAAGGAUUUUUGUGCUUGGGCCGGCGACCGCCGGAUGGGUCGCCGGGUGGGUCGUCGGCUACCCGGAUUUUUCAGUUUUGCGCGUUUUUUGAGUUCUUCUGGGUUUCAAACUCUAUAUUUUACCCUGGUACUAUAAAUAGGUCUUCUUAUGACCUAUUUUGGGUUCCUCUUUUAGUUCCCAGCUUUAGUUUUUCAGUUCCCAACAUUCAUAUUUCAGUUUUAUAGCUUUAGAAUACUUUAGCUUUCCAGUUUUCAAGGCUUGGAUCAAGAUUGAAGAUUGAAGUCGCUACAAUCGUUUUAAUUCAAUUUUUAUACAAUUUGUUUUUACAAUUGCGUUCAAUUUAAUUAUGUUUAUGUUUGAUUUUGCUAUGUCUGGCUAAUUUCCUUUAGCUGAUUCUAGGGUUUGUAAAUAGUUGAUUGAAUUUAUGUGAUUUAUUUGUUAAUACCUUUGUGCCUUCCAGUUUAUGAUUCAUGAUUCCUGGUGCUUAAUUUCUUGUGAAUUAUUUGGCCAAUAAUUUACAUGUCUAGUUGUUCAGUUUGAGUCUUGAAUGCGAUAAUUGUUCAGCCGAUUCAGGAAUGCAUGAUAUAGUGUUAGCCUUGAGUCUUGAAUGCGAUAGGUGAAGCUAUAGGGAGCUAUUCUUUGUGUACGCUUGGGAGUUAAUUUAUUCCUUGGAGUCUUGAAUGUGAAGGGGGGUAAAUUAAUCUACUUUCAUAGGUGUUCGUUAGAGAAGCUUGUGAAUAGUUGUGUGAUCUCUCAUCAUAACUGGAUUAAAUUGGUACAUAGGAUUAAUAGAUUUAUAGCGUAGAUUUAGUUAAUGAAUUUACUACCCUAGGAUCAGUUGUUUUUAAUAUUUGAAUUCGUCUACAUACUUUUAUUUAUCGUUAUUUGCGUUUUAGUUUAAGUAAAUCAAUCUCUACCUUCUGUUGCCUGUCUACUGUUAAAGUUUGUUUAGGAGAUAGCUAGAGUUAUUUCGAUUUUCAGUCCCUGUGGAUACGAUACUCGACUUGCUAUUUCUGUGCUACAAUUACACUGUUUAGUUGCAGUUUUUGUUGCUAAGAAAUUAGUGAUCAGGAAUUACCGGCCAAUCUCUCCAGCAUCUGGUCGAUAAAGGGCAAUGGGAAGUGGUCCUUCCUGGUUGCAUCAUUCAGUUUCCUGUAGUCAAUGCAAACUCUCCAUCCAGUUUGCAAUCGGGUGGGCACAAGCUCGCCCUGAUCAUUCUCCACAACCUGUAUCCCAGAUUUCUUCGGUACGACAUGGAAUGGACUUACCUUGGCUAUCGAAAUCGGAUAAGAUUGGACGGAUUAUCAGUAUGAUCGAAACGUGUUAACAACAGUUAUGACCUAACCAAAUAAUUCAUCCGUUGUAUAUUGAUUUGUACUUUGCUGAGUCUUCAAUUUUGAGUUUCCUUAUUUGGUGAGAACGGGUUCUCAGUCGCUGGGGAUUCGACCCUACACUUACCGCUAAGACUAAGUCUUGUGUAGACGUAGGACGUUACUGUCUGUACUGGGCAUACACAGGUAUUUUGUCCGCACCGCACGACGGGUGUGUGUCAGGAGGUUCAGUCCGAGGAAGAAUGUUUAACUGAUACUUGACUUUAGUAUCAAUCCGUUGAAUCCACGUGGCCCGCAUUAAGUAAUCAGUCGUAACUGAUUCUUGGACUGUUCAGUCAAAUAUCAGUAUUUGACUCUGCCUUAAUUCGUUACAUCAGUCGGUAACUUCAGUCUUCAGUCUUCAAUCCUCCGGUCUUCAGUCUUCAGUCUUCAGAACACUAACUAAACUAGAAAAAAAAUAUAACACCUGAGUUCGAACAGUUCUAGUCUAUUAUAAGGGAAACCUAAGGAUUUUGGUAUCAUCAAAACAAGGAUUAUGAUAUUUCAUUAAGUUCCCAGCACAAUCUGUAGGAGGAAUAUGACAUUAUGCAGGAGGAGGAUGACAUUGUGCAAGAGUUUCUUGAUAACCUGCAAGAUGAUGUGGCCAUUGAAGAAAAGUCGUUGGACAAGUUGCCACUCGAAGUGGAUAUAGUGCAAGAAUUCCCCGCUCACUUGAAAGAGGAGCCAGCAGUUGAAGAAUAAUUUCUGGACGUGCUGCAACACAAGGAUGAUGUAAUGCAAGGGUUGUAGUGUGUACUGCCUUGGGAAGAGAAGAAAGAGGGGAGUUUUCGAUUUGGCUCCCGAAGAAGAGUUGUAAGGAAGUCGUUGGAUGUGAUGAGCGUUGUAUGCUUAUUAGGAGGGCCCGCAGCUGCAAUUAAAGAGGAUGUGUUAUCACAGGCAUUAAGGCAGCUGAAGCUUCAAUCUGACUUUGGUUAAAUGUUUCUCUAAGUCGGGCUGGUGACUUUAAAACUAGCGUUGCAUGGGAGGCAACCCAUGUUCUUCUUAGUUUUCGCUUGUUUCUGUUUUUCUUUCUGCUUUGUUUGAUGUUUGUUUUAGUUGUGUUCUUGGUGUUUGAUGCAGGUUCUGUGUUUUUGGGAGAGAUAUUUUGUGUGGAAAAGAAGAAUGCAUGGCAAUGUGGAUUUCCAAGGGCUCAGCUCCUUCAUUCAUGUUCAGGGAAGUGUUCUCUUACACUUUUAUUUCAAGCUGUGUUUUGUUCUAAGUGUGGAGGAGUUGAGAACCUUGGAUUUAUUGAUUUUGGUAAAUGUUGGGGAGUAUUUUUGUACUUAAUUGGUGGGUAAAUGGUCCCCCUGCACUUGGCUUGAUUCUUGGAUGCAUACUAAUUAUUAUGAAUUUAUGGAAGUGAUGGUUUUCGAUGUAAUUUUCGGGUUAGUGCCGAUUGGUGGAGAUGCUAGUUUUUUUUAUACAUGUGUCUUGUUGGUGCAAAUGAAUUAUGAGUUUUGUUGCAACACUUUUGUAAGCAAGUGAAACAUGAUUUGUUCGGUAGAUGCUAGAGGGAGUGUUGUCACUGUGAUUGCCUACGAUCUUAUUUUUAUGUGUGACGUUGUAUGAAUUAUGAAAUAUUUGAUAGCUCUGAGUCUCUGCUCCUUUAGUAUUUCUAUGAGCAUGAGAAACCACGUGAGAAGACUUUGGAUUUCCUCCAAAAGAUUUUAUCUCAUGAAUUGUGGCUACACUGUUGAAAUAAUAGAAUAACUUCUAAAGAGAACACAAUAUUGUGAAAAGAAAACAGUUGUUACAUGACAUAUUGAUUAUAAAGGCGAUCGCAUUAGGGAAUUCACUUCUAGCGGAGAAUUGGGUCUGGCCGAAUCAUUUGUAUUACAGUUUUGUUGCUUCUUAAACUUUAAGUUACUUGCAUCAUCUAAGAGACAUGUGUUUAUUGAAAAUUUUGAAUUGGCUUGUUGAAUGUUUGGUUGGAAAAUGAGCAUCGUUGAACCAUCUCUUUAUUGGAUUCAUAUGGAUUUUGCUUGAGGACAAGCAAAACGCUAAGUGUGGGGAGGUUGUUUAGUCCUAUUAUGUGAUGAUUAGAUGGGUGUUUAGGUGUGCUAUGAGUUUAUAUUUUCGGUCUCGUUCACUCAAUAAUUGAUUGAUUUGAGCUUAUGUGCUUAUUUUGUUGUCUCACGAUUGGAUGCUCUAAUUGAAUAAUUAGUGGAAAACUAUAGAGUGCGAAUUUGGCUAAUUGGUCCUUAAAAGAAUUAUAGCUCGUCUCGAUAGGAGUUGUAGGCAAAAAUAGAUUCAAAAUCGGACUUGUAACGAGAAAGAACGGGCCGAAACAAAAACAUCGCGUAGUGCAGUGUUCGGGUGGCAACCCCGCGGGCGAUGGCUCUUCCCCGCGGGCGCCCCGACGCUCCCAGCACCAGAUGGCUAUUCUCCACGCCCGAUGGCACUCCGCCAUCGCCCGAUCACCCUCUCCCCAACGGCGAAGGCCCAACUCCUUCGUCGAGCUUCUCUUUCUCCCCGCGCCGUGGCCCUUCACGCAUUGCCGGUGCACAAUUUUCCUCGACCGAACACUCAAGUCCCUCGGCUGACAAUCCUUCCUCCCUUGGCCAAGCCAACAUUCCCAGCGGCUGAAGCCAUGCACCCCUCGGCCAGCUAUUUGCCCAAGCGGGCGAGUGCCUCGGCGCUCCCUUUCGCUCAUCGGUCGAGCUGUUUGCCCAAACAGGCGAGUGCCUGGCCCAUUCCAGCAGCCGAGGCGUUCUAGCCAGCACCCGAUCUCUCAUCACACCCUUCUUUUGCUCCAAUUAGAAUACGCCAUGUGUCCCAGUCCAAAAUAAAAUGUUAAAGGAGUAUUUCACAAUUUCGGAGUAUAAAAGAGCGGACUUCUCAUUUCCUAGGGUUAACAUCCAUUCUCACCCUUUCAGAGACGCAGUUCUAGCCAGACUUCAGUUCUUAGUUAGGGUUUAUUCGCUUUCCAUUUUCAUUCUUACGCUGAGAAUAAUUAAUAGUUAGAGAUUUAUCCCAGUCAUCAUCAUUACUGUAAGUUUCCAUUUUAUUUCCUAGUUAAACUCUUAGAUUUAUGAUUUCAAUGCAGUAUCUGUUAUUUCUUUCCGUAUGCUCUUUAGAUUUAUUUUAGUUAAUCAUUUAAUCCGCUGUCUAGAUAAUUGUUAUUUUGUUACGCAAUUAGUUUAAUGAAUUACUGCUUUUCCUCAAGAACCCUAGCGUAGAUUUUCAUCCUAUUUAUUUCUGCUUAUUAUUCUAGUGCUUGCCUAGAUAAUUUUACAUGCUUUAUUUCUUGCCUAGAUAAUUUACAUGCUUUAUUUCAACAAUUAAUUACUCUCUUCUUCAAUUCAAAAUUCUAUCUAUGAAAAGGCUGUCAUAAAUUUGAGAGAGCUUCACGUAUGUCUUCGAAUCGGUGAAGAUUGCAGGCGUUCCUCAAGCUCUAUUUAUAGGCGAAGUCUUGAAUAGAUCCGUUGGAGAGAUGGUCUUCAGGAUUUCUACCAUUGUGAGAGGAUGUCACUUCUUGGGCUGAGGUGUCAAUCUUCAGAUACUGCAUGUACCAAAUAUUUAAUUCUUGUAUUUGGAGUAUAGUGCUUCUGCAGCUUUAACACGAAAAGAGAAGCUCAGGUACUUGCAAACGAUCUUCAUAUCUUUGGCAUUUAAUGUUGUUGUGCUCGGGCAUUUAAUGCAGCGUGUCUGAUACCCUUCACUUCAGUCCGAUGCAGAAUAUCGACUGGUAUUUGCUUUGGACUUCAUUUUGACGAUGACAUGAAUUGCUUGAGUAACUCUGACUGGUGACUGAUGACUUUCAGUCAAGGUGCGUCCUUCAGUGGUUCGUUCAAUAUGCUUCAGUAAAACCGCCUUCAGUCUUUGCCGCUUCAGUCAAAACAAGUGAGGGCAAAAAACUUGAGUCAUAAUGUGAAUAUAAGACAAAGAAGCUUUCAAAUGGUUUUGGUAUCAUCAAAACUAGGAUGAGGAUAUUUCAUUUAUUUCCCAACAUUAGUGAUUUUGAAUCAAUUUUUAAGGCGAUGUGUGACACCAUCGUCAUAUGCGCUCUAAUCUUCACGACCUCGGGUGCCACCACCUCCCUGUACUUUAUCUCGUGGAGUUGGUCGCCACCGAUGAUGGCGGCGCUCUCUGCCGACCAGUGAUGUGAUACCUCCUCCCUCACUCACACGAGGGCUUGCAUAUGUAAAUCGAACAACACACAACAACAACGUGGAGACGUCCUGCGCGGUGGUUGCAUCCAAUAGUCGGUCAAGCACGAUAGCUCUUCUUCCCCGCUCGCCAUCCGUCUCUCACUCGCUGUGGUGCAUGAUUUAUCUAGGUAGAUAUGGGUGUAAGGGUAGAUACUAAGAAUCAGGAGAUCGAUGAAGAAUUUGUUAGAGAUAGGGUAGAGCGGCAGAGAAUCGACGAAGAUAGGUAGGGUUAAUUUGGCUAUUUGGAUUAACUAAGAAAAAAAUUUGGGGUGUAAUUAAUUUUAUUAAUUAGAGCUUUAAGUUGCUUAAUUUUUGUCGAAAAAGGAAACAGUUCAUCUUCGUUGGAACGACCCGAGAAAGAAUACGUGUCAUCUCCGUUGGGAGGAAAAGUAUUAUUUUACCAUUGUAUGUGUAGUGUGUAUGAAUUUUGACAAGAGUGCUCAUAAUUCUCCAGCUUCAUAACUCAAUAAUAUAUAGAUUUAGGAUCAUUUUGUGUAUCCAGUGGGGGGAUUUCGGUUAUAACUUAUAAGACAAAUAUAGAUAUCUUAGUCACAUAUAUCCAAUAAAUUUUGUAAGCAAUUAUUCCCCGUAAGUUUUUUUUGUACCUUUUCGUUAUUUAAUUAUAUUUUAAAUAAUGUUUCUCAAAGAGUUUAGUGCUCCAAAUUACCACAAGUAAUACUGUGUAAUUUAUAAGGAUAAUAUUUAUAAACAUACUAUUUACUUUUUCACAUAUUAUAUAAAUACAACUCAUGAGUGCCUCAUGACCAAAUCCACCAUGUUCAUCAACAAUACAAGAUUUCUUAGUGGUCAAUCUUUACAGAUUGUCUGCCUAAGAUUAAAACACUUAUCUAUAAACUACACCUAUUCAUGUUGAUAUAACAUAGAAAAAUUAACAAUCGAAUAAUCUAACGUUAAACAGACAAAUACACAACGUACUAUGCUCUAAUAUUCUUGAUCUUCAAUCCUUGUCCUUGACCUCCCAUUAAUACAGAGUAAGUCUUUUCAGAUUGGCUGCCUAAGACUCUUUCGUCAAAGCCAGACUUGAAGAAUCGGUGCCACGUUUGCAGCAGGAAAAAUGACGAAUUGGUUGAGGUGAAUGUUAACUUGCUGAAAUUACAGUUCCAAGACGUACGUAUGAGAGGUUUAUCUUGUAGCUUUUAUAGAAGCCAUGUCGUGGUCAGUUUCCUCGACUUCCCACUUCCAGAAGGUUUCUAUAACCGCUGCAAUAUCUUUUCAAAAACUGCCAAUCGACUAGUCAUGGAUGUUGGUUGAAGAUUAUGGUACCUAAAAAAUAUGAAUAAUUUAACUGGCCACUACUUUUGGCCAUGAUUAAUCCACCUUUUCACUUAUUAAAAACGUGAUCAAGUGCAUAGAACACACCACAAUUCAAAGAAAAGAAAAACCUCUUCUAAAAAAUACUAAAAAAAAAAAAAAAAAAAAAAACCUGAAAGAAAUAGAUUAAAUAUAAUACAGUUACUAAUGAAGAGUACAAAGUUCAGCUUCAAGCCGUGGCUGAGCCAGAAAUUUUUAUGGGGAGGACUGAAUUUGUAUGGGGGUUCGAGAGUGGUAGUCCUGAGCCAAUUUUUUUGUCUGUCAAUCGAAUUAUUAAAUAAAAAAUGCAUAAUAAUAGGAACAAACAAUAUUUUCAUACAUUAAAUAGAUCUAGUAUACACUAUAAAUAGCUUUAAAAUAAAUACUUGACGAACUUAUUAUUUUGUUGUUCGAAAAACUAAUGACAAAUAAUUUUAAUGCAUUGAUUGAAAACAUUGCGAAAUAUUUUGGUUAUCAAUUAUUGAGAAGAAUAUUCUCAAUGUACAUGACUAAACAAGUUAUGUUAUCUUCUAUUUCUUCUCUUAAUAAUAAUAAUAAUAAUAAUAAUAAUAAUAAUAAUAAUAAUAAUAAUUUGGGGGUGGGCUGAGCCUCCAUGUGAUUCCGCCACUGGCUUCAAGAAAGACUCUAGAAAUAUUGGCUGAUUCUCAUAAAUGUUGACAACAAAAUUUUAUUAUCAGUAUUCAUUCAACCCAACAAUGUUGAAUUCAAUAUUGAUUCUAUUCGUUUCGGAGUUUAAUAUUUCCCAUGUCUUGUAUAUGUAGGCUGAUUGGAAUUUACACAAGUAUUAAGAAAAAUCAUUAGAAAUUAAUGAAAAUAUAUAAUUAAAUUUCAUAAUAUGUUCAUAAUUAUUAUUUAAUAAUGAAUUAAAAUUAGAGUAAAUUAAAGAAUUAAAUAAAAAUAUAAUAUUAAAUGAGUAAAAAAUAUUAUUUUUUAUAAAAAUAAGCUUAUAUAAAUAAAUGGAGUAUCCGAAAAAAAUAAAUGGAGUCUGUCUAUAUAUAGGGGACGAGGAGAGUAAUAAAGUACUUUUCCUCAUCAACUCUCAUUAUUUAUGUUUUCUUUAUUGUUUUUUAUGUUUUUCCACCAAAAAAUGAUUUAUAUUUGAGCACAAACGGAAGUGAAAGCAGCAACUAAUGCAAGCCUUAGGCAGUUAGGCUUUUCCUCAAAAAAAAAAAAUUAAUAAUAAUAAUAAAAAAUGCAAGCCUUAGACUUGCAGAUGAGAUCUCUAUUCCACUAUUAUGUGUGUACCACUUAUUUAUCUGGUUUUCAUAACCCAAUUUUAAUGCAAGCCUUAGGCCUGCCACCACUUGUUCAUCUAGUUUUCAUAACCCAAUUUUAAUUUAAUUUAUAAUUGUAACUGUAGUUACCCUCCAAAUAAAAAAUGAUACGUUAAUUACUACCAAUUAAAUAUUAAAAUAAAGUUUACCGGCCUAACAUCAACAUAUAUAAAUUCCGAUUUGGAAGCAAAGUCUGUGACUAAAAAAUCUAGCUAGUUGCAGAUGGGAACAGUAGGGAAGGCGAAGAAGGAGCUAGAAGAGUUGUAUCUGGGCGUCCCAGAUGAAUCAGUGAACCUCACAUUCCAAGACUUGGCUCAACUCACCACCCAUCAAAACAAGCCCAAAUCUCCUCUCUGCAAGCUUCCUAGCAUAGACUUUCCGAGCCCCCACCACCACCACCGCCCUCACCACCACCACCAUGAUGAGACUAGCGUCGUCGAGAGAGGCGGGAGGCGCCGUCCCGGGAUUCCGCACUCUAAUAUUUGUGCCCUUUGUUGUAACUAUAUAUAUAUCUGUCGCCAUCGUUGCCUCGUGAGUAUAUAUUAUCUACCUUUAAAAUAGUGUCUCUUUUUUGGUGGGGGAGUAAAGGUAGAUUUUUUGGCAGGUUUGUGGAAGAGUUUAUUGCAGGCAAUGUGUGAGCGAUGGAAUGGGGGAGAUGACUCAAGGUAGAAAGUGCAUCGACUGUUUGGGAAGAAGAUUCAGCCAAAGGUACACGUCUAAUUAAUUAUUUCAAUUUCAUUUCAACUUUUUCCUAUUUCUGGACUUAAAUGUUAAUUCCAACUUCCCCACUUAAUUGCUCUACAUCUAAUAUCACAAAAUUAAAAUCAUCCCAGAGCAUACGCGGCACUCAAUCAAUUUUGAAUUUCUAAACUCUUUUCAAUAUUUUCCAUGAUACAAUUGGUAUACAUUAAAAAAAAAAUACUCCCUCUGUCCCGCCGAGCUUGAAGCGUUUCUUUUGGGCACGAGAAUUAAGAAGUUGUAGAUUAGUGUUUUAAGUUUGUAGUAAUAAAGUGAUAAAGUAAGAGAGAGAAUUUAAUAAAGUGAUAAAGUAGGAGAGAGAAUAUAAUAAGAGGUGCAAUUAAUUUUGUAAAUUAGUGCUUUAAAUUGCCUAAUUUUUGCCAAAAACAAGAAAUGACUCAAGCUCGGCGGGACAACCCGAAAAGGAAUACGACUCAAGCUCGGUGGGACGGAGGGAGUAAUAAAUUUUAAAAAUUAAGAGAGAAUAUAAAAGUAUUACUACUAUAUAAAAAUCCAAAACAGAAAUUGAAAGAAACAUAAUUAAUGGAGUUCUUUAUGGUGUUAACGAUGACAACUACUAAUACAAAACAGAAAUGCCGGCCGGCGAAUAAUGAAAUACGAAGCAGGCCUGCUAGUAUAUAGUAUUAUAUAUAUGAUGAAAUAUUGAGUUGGUAUAGUGAUACAUCAUACAUGCAUGCAGGUACAUACACAAGGCAGGUAACAUGGGGUGGUGCAUGGCGUAUCCAUCGGUGGUGAAGCAGCAGGAGCUCAAGUGGGCGGAGAGAGGAGCCAGGAGAAGCGGUGAGAAUAGAUACCAAAAGAGUGCUGUGUCGUCGAGAUCGCGCAGCCCCGUGGCCGUGGGCCUAGCAACGCCGUCUAGGCAACACAGCAACCCUCCUUCCUUCGUCAUCAACUCUCCUUAUAAUUCCCCUACUAAUCACCACCCCAUGCCCUUUUAGUUACCUCUUACCCUUUCUUACUCUAUUAAUCAAUCGUCUUUGAUUUCGGAGUUUGUUUGGUAUAUCUGUUUAUUUAUUUUGUAUGUAAGACCAACCACUUAUAUUCCAUAUAUUAUUUCAUUUACUCAAAUUUCAACCAUGCAUGCACAAAAAGGAAGCAAGCCUAGAAGCCAUGUGAAGUAAAUUGUACAUUGCUCGUUUGAAAGCUUUGUUGCUAUCGCAAAUACAGAAUUGUUGAGUAGAAUGUUCAAAUUGUAGGAACCAAAUUUGACAUAUGAUUCACGUGCCCGUGAUCUAUUCCGGAUACCAAACGAAUACAUACAAAAAUCUUUCGUGCCUAUUACAAGAGAACGAGUCUUACUUGCAAAUCCGGCGAUGAACGACUCCAGAGUGAAUCGUCCGACUUGUUUCCCACGGCAAGACUUGACGUUGGAUGGAAACGAUCUUCAAGUCCUCUCCCUAGUGUAACUGUCGCUCUCCCCUUCUCUAUGCUCUCACAGAUUUCUCAAUUUUCUGUCUUACAUAAUGUCACAACUGUAAUUAGAAUUAGGGUUGUACCUAUUAUUUAUACUGCGCAUUAAAACCCUAAACAAUAAGCCCAUCAUCUAAUUAAACUAAGACAAAGCCCAAAGGCUUAAGUGAGAGUGAGAAGAGGCGUCCAGCCCACUUAGAGCAAAGCCUUUAUUGGGCCAAGCGGGGAUCUACUAGCUCGAAUAAAGUUUGGCCUCCCAGUGCUCGAUUUUCUUAUUCACCUAGAAUAAAAUCGAGACAUAAGUAUUAAUUUAUUCCACUAUAAAAUUAAUACUGAAUUACCUCUUUAUUCUUUAGGUGAGUCGGGGCUAGUAUUAGACUUAAUUAAUCCCCGUGUUUACGAUAUCCAAUAUCCAUUAAUUAAUUAAUUCAUCUGACGAUCAAUUAAUUAAUUAAUUAGUCGUUUAAUUAUAAAUGACAUCUCGAGUGCUACCACUUAAACUUAUUAUCGUAUCGAAAUUAAUUCCACUUGCAAGGUUUAAUACGAUAAACUUAUUAAGUUCCUCGAGAUGAUAUUAUCAUCCUGUUAUUAGCAAGACACGGAUCCUCACUACAAGAAAAUUGCACAUACAUAACACAGCAUACAUAACGGUUUUUUUUCAAAAACCGUUAUCUAUGAGCGUUUUUUUGACAUUAGAUAACGGUUCGAUAAAAAUCUGUUAUGUAUGUAGUGUUAUGUAUAUGCAUUUAUAACGGUAUGAAGCAAUGCGUUAUGUAUGAGCGUUAUCUAUUAGUUAAAUACACAACAGUACUCCUUAACCGUUAUGCAAUGUGUUAUCUAUAAAUGUCUCUUUUAUAACGAUUGUUAAAAGCAUUAAGAUAAGCGUUGUAUAUGAACAUCUAUUAUAACAGAUAUUAUUACCACUAGUUUGUAACCCGUUGAAAUUCGACGAGAUACCAUUUUAUGUUGUAAUUUUAUUAUUUUAUAUAUUUUUUAUAGGGUUAAGGUGCAGAUAGGCCCCUCAAGUGAAGGCCCUUAGAGCAUUUCAGUCCUCUUAUUAACUGUGUGUGCAAAUUGGCCCUCGAACUCAAAAAAAUGGUGCAGAUCGCCCCCUCUGACUUAACACCGUUAUGGGCCGUUAGUCAGAGGGGGCGAUCUGCACCGUUUUUUUGGAGUUCAGGGGCUAAUCUGCACAUUUUCCCUUUUUGGAGUUCGGGGGCUAAUCUGCACACCGUUCAAUAAAAAAAAAUCACAUCUCAUCUUCUCCGACCAACUUUUCCGGCGUCAAUCGCCGUCAGAUGAGGAAAAUCACGAAAUCAAGUUCCCAAGCCCCAAAUCGGGAAUUCCAAAUCGACGUCAUUGCUCCCGAAAAUCACAUAAUCGAAAUGGAAACUCGAAUUCUCCCUCGAACGUCACCGCCCCCCAAUUGUAGAAUCACCCCCAACGAAUCGAACUUCGCCUCNGGCGACGGGCAUCGUCGGCCUUUAUCACCGGAUUUCGCCGGAUUUGAGAGAAAGAGGCGACUCCUUAUCAAAAAAAGCUAGGCGACUCCUCAUUGAGAAAAGCCAGGCGGCGGGUUCACCGGAUAUUGCGGCGGCGAUUUCCGACGGAAUGGGAGAAUUAGGGCUCGUCCUUGACGCUAAGCGUGUGCAGUCGAGCGAGCUCCGAGGUUUAGGGCCUAAGAGAGAAAGAAAGGGGCGGCGCCCUCCGCCAGCCUCGCCGGAGCUUGAAUCAGCGACAACGACGAUCAAAUUUUGAGCGAGAGAGAUGAAUUAAUUAAAAAGUUAAAAGGUGCAGAUUAGCCCCUGAACUCCGAAAAAAUGGUGCAGAUCGCCCCCUUGACUAACGGCCCAUAACGGUGUUAAAUCAGAGGGGCCGAUUUGCACCGUUUUUUUGAGUUCGGGGGCCAAUUUGCACACACAGUUAGUAAGGGGACUGAAACGCUCUAAGGGCCUCCACUUAAGGGGCCUAUCUGCACCUUAACCCUUUUUUAUAUAAUGAAAUUAUUUUUAUAUUAAAUAUAAUACUCCCUCCGUCCCAACGAAGAUGAUACGUAUUCCUUUUCGGGUCGUCCCAACGAAGAUGCUAUAUUUCUAAAUAUGAAAAAAUAAGGGAUUUUAAUUGCAGAAUUACAACUAAUUAAUCACUCCCUUAUUACAUUCUCUCUUCUACUUUAUCACUUUAUUAUCUUUUCUCUCAUACUUUAUUACUUUUAUACUACACACUUAAAACACUAAUCUGCAACCCCUUAAAUCCCGUGCCGAAAUAAAAUGUAUCAUCUUGGCUGGGACGGAGGGAGUAGAUUUGAACUUAUAUUAAUCGCAAUCACUUAUAACAACUAAAUGUGUUAAGAACUAAUUAUUGAUCACAUCUGUCUUCUGAGCAUCAUAUCAUUUUAACCCUGUAAGACCAUAUCAUCAUUUAGAGUACGAAAAGCAUCAGACUUUUGAGCAUAAUCUUGUUUGUACCUUGAAAUUCUAUAUAUGACUUAUGAGUCAAACUUUUGACCAUAACUGACUUAUAAACAUCAUCUUAUAUGGAGCUGAUCAUGAAAUAGUUUUGUACAUCAUCUCACGUGGAGCUUGAAAGUUCAUAUUUGAGUUUCGAGCAACAUCUUAUUUUGAGCGUGAAAGGCGUAACUGACUUGUGAUAAUCAUCUCGUUUGAAGUUUGAAAUAUUAUAACUAAGUUAUGAGAAUCAUUUCGUCUGAAGUUUAAGAAAAUUAAUUUGGGAUUCAAAUCAUAUCAUCUUAUUUAAUAUUCCAAUUGGCAAAUUUUCAUUAAAAUUAUUUGGAAUACAAAAUUCAUUUUAAAGAAUGGUAAAAAAAAUCUUAUUUUUUGGCCAAAUUAAAUUGAAGAAUUGAUUUAUCUAGUCACAACUAUUUAUUUAAAAAAAAUAGAUUAAAUUAACUUUUUAUUUAACCAAAUAAAUUUAAUGAAAUUAAAUUGACCGUGCAAUUUAAAUUGUAUUAAUGUCAAUCACUCUAUUAACUAAAUGUGAAUGUUUGGUUUGAGAAGUAGGAGCAUCCCUUUAUAUAGAUUUUAUUUUGGUGAAAUCUCAUAAAAUAUUAAUAUGCGAUGAUAUGACUUAGAUAUACGAGAAUGAAUAAAUAUGGAGAUGUAUUAUUAUUAUUAUUAUUAUUAUUAUUAAACUAAAAGGAAAAACAAAAAGAAAACGGAUGAAUUAUGCUCAACAAUAAAAAUUCAUAUGUGCAAAUUUCAUCAAAAUAAAUAAAUUCGAAUUUUGUAUGAAAAAUUAUACAAAUCAAAUUGAAGAAAUAAUUUUAUUUUGUCAAAGUAUUAAUCUCAAUCACUCCACCAAUUAAACAUAGAUUUUUGGUUUGAAGAGUAUGAUCAUUCUUUUAUAUAGGUUUUGUUUUG
Molecule: long non-coding RNA, 26122 nt
Filed under: Salvia miltiorrhiza (redroot sage)
Lineage: Eukaryota; Viridiplantae; Streptophyta; Magnoliopsida; Lamiales; Lamiaceae
Description: long non-coding RNA (SMIL_LNC008290)
Source: RNAcentral